UCUCCUUUUACCAGUCACCACCAGCCUGACCUCAUGCAUUUUUAGUACAAUGGAGUGGCUGAGCCUUUGAGCACACCACCAUUACAUCAUCGUGGCAAAUUAAAGGAGGUGGUGGAAAAAGAGGACUUAUUGUUGUCAUGGCCCAUGAGAUGAUUGGAACUCAAAUUGUUACUGAGAGGUUGGUGGCUCUGCUGGAAAGUGGAACGGAAAAAGUGCUGCUAAUUGAUAGCCGGCCAUUUGUGGAAUACAAUACAUCCCACAUUUUGGAAGCCAUUAAUAUCAACUGCUCCAAGCUUAUGAAGCGAAGGUUGCAACAGGACAAAGUGUUAAUUACAGAACUCAUCCAGCAUUCAGCGAAACAUAAGGUUGACAUUGAUUGCAGUCAGAAGGUUGUAGUUUACGGUCAAAGCUCCCAAGAUGUUGGCUUUCUGUCUUCAGACUGUUUUCUCACUGUACUUCUGAGUAAACUGGAGAAGAGCUUCAACUCUCUUCACCUGCUUGUAGGUGGGUUUGCUGAGUUCUCUCGUUGUUUCCCUGGCCUCUGUGAAGGAAAAUCCACUAUAGUCCCUACCUGCAUUUCUCAGCCUUGCUUAUCUGUUGCCAACAUUGGGCCAACCCGAAUUCUUCCCAAUCUUUAUCUUGGCUGCCAGCGAGAUGUCCUCAACAAGGAGCUGAUGCAGCAGAAUGGGAUUGGUUACGUGUUAAAUGCCAGCAAUACCUGUCCAAAGCCAGACUUUAUCCCUGAGUCUCAUUUCCUGCGAGUGCCUGUGAAUGAUAGCUUUUGUGAGAAAAUUUUGCCAUGGUUGGACAAAUCAGUAGAUUUCAUUGAGAAAGCAAAAGCCUCCAACGGGUGUGUCCUAGUGCACUGUUUGGCCAGGAUCUCUCACUCUGCCACCAUCGCCAUUGCCUACAUCAUGAAGAAGAUGGACCUGUCUUUAGAUGAAGCUUACAGAUUUGUGAAAGAAAAAAGACCUACUAUAUCUCCAAACUUCAAUUUUCUGGGCCAACUCCUGGACUAUGAGAAGAAGAUUAAGAACCAGACUGGAGCAUCAGGGCCAAAGAGCAAACUCAAGCUGCUGCACCUGGAGAAGACAAAUGAACCCGUCCCUGCGGUCUCAGAGGGUGGACAGAAAAGUGAGAUGUCCCUCGGUCCACCCUGUGCCGACUCUGCUACCUCAGAGGCAGCGGGGUAGAGGCCUGUGCAUGCUGCCAGUGUGCCCAGCGUACAGCCGUCACUGUUAGGGGACAGUCCACUGGUACAGGCGCUAAACGGGAUCCACCUGUCCUCAGAUAAGCUGGAAGACAGCAGUAAGCUCAAGCGUUCCUUCUCUCUCAAUAUCAAAUCAGUGUCGUAUUCAGCCAGCGUGGCAGCAUCCUUACACGGUUUCUCCUCAUCAGAAGAUGCUUUGGAAUACUAUAAAUCCUCCACUGCUCUGGAUGGGUCCAACAAGCUAUGCCAGUUCUCCCCGGUUCAGGAAGUGUCAGAGCAGAGUCCUGAAACCAGCCCCGAUAAGGAGGAAGCCAACAUCCCCAAGACACCCCAGGCCGCCAGGCCUUCAGAGAUCCAGAGCAAGCGAUUGCACUCAGUAAGAACCAGCAACAGUGGUGCCACCCAGAGGUCCUUCUUGUCUCCGUUACACUGAAGUGAGAGCGUGGAGGACAAUCACCACACCAACUUCCUUUUUGGCCUUUCCACCAGCCAGCAACACCUCACCAAGUCUACUGCCGGCCUGGGCCUCAAGGGCUGGCAUUCGGAUAUCUGGGCUCCCCAGACCUCGACCCCUUCCCUGACCAACAGUUGGUAUUUUGCUACAGAGCCCGCUCACUUCUACUCUGCCUCGGCCAUCUAUGGAGGCAAUGCCAGCUAUUCUGCCUAUAGCUGUAGCCAGCUGCCCACCUGCAGUGACCCAGUCUAUUCUGUGCGCAGGCAGCAGAAGCCAAGUGACAGAGCUGACUCUCGGCGGAGCUGGCAUGAAGAGAGCCCUUUUGAAAAGCAGUUUAAAUGCAGAAGUUGCCAGAUGGAAUUUGGAGAGAGCAUCAUGUCAGAGAACAGGUCGCGCGAGGAACUGGGGAAAGUGGGCAGUCAGUCUAGCUUCUCAGGCAGCAUGGAAAUCAUUGAGGUCUCCUGAGAAGAAAGACACUUGUGACUUCUAUGGACAGUUUUUUUCUUGUUCACAAAAAAUAUUCCCUGUAAAUCUGAAAUAUAUAUAUGUACAUACAUAUAUAUUUUUGGAAAAUGGAGCUAUGGUGUAAAAUCAAAAGAUGGAUCAACCCAGUUGUUCUCUCUUAACAUCUGCAUUUGAGAGGUCAGCUAAUAUUUCUCUCAACAAAAGUGGAAGGGCAGAUGCUAGAAUUCCCCCUAGAUGGAGGAAACAGUUUUAUUCAGUGAGUUGCACAUGCUCUUGUUCUCACAAAAGCAAGGGCAUUUGGUGUUAGAGGACAAAAUCCCCCACCAUUUUCAUGUUGUGCUACAAGGAGAUCUCAAAUACUCAUCUUUGUCCAGACCCUUCCCUAGUGCACCUUAGCGCUGAGACUAAGCCAGCUGUGGGUUGGGUAGGUAGACCCUGCUAGGGACAGAGCCUAA
Non-coding RNA from Microcebus murinus (gray mouse lemur), 2584 nucleotides. The record is from RefSeq and is a predicted model, not a curated record. NCBI's taxonomy places the organism in Eukaryota, Metazoa, Chordata, Mammalia, Primates, Cheirogaleidae.